Molecule: long non-coding RNA, 1380 nt
Organism: Homo sapiens (human)
Lineage: Eukaryota; Metazoa; Chordata; Mammalia; Primates; Hominidae
Exons: 3
Source: RefSeq, a predicted model, not a curated record
AAGGCAUUAUUCAGAAAGAACCAAUCAGGAGAGAGCAGGCAAACAAGAAUAGAAGUUCUCACUCUGGUCUGCGGGUUUUAGGCUGUUUUUGGCUUGAAGGUGGGGUUUCACUGGGGACCCACCCCUAUCUUCCUAGGAUUUCUUUGCCUCCUGCCUCUAUUAAUUUGCAAGCAACACAAGCUCAUGAAGGGGCUCCAGUCCCUCUCCAGAUUCCAGGGCUUUGUGGUGUGGCAGGAUGAGUGGCCACACUUGAAAGACUCAGGAGACAGCGAGGUUUAACCUAAAGCCAUGAGCUGGGAAUCCACUCAAGCAGGAGGCUGAAAAUGCAAAUAUAGGAAAGUACAGUGACUGUGGAGUGGGGAUGCUGCAAGGCAGCCCGCACCCUUUGCCUCUGAAAUAACUACUUUUUGGAGGUGCCAGAGGAGAGAAUCGGUGGAGCGCCCUCCUGGAGUGGGAUCACAGCACCACCCAAGCCUAGAAUCGUCAUCUUCUGGCCUACAGCACCCAGUAUUCCCAGGCAGUCUUCCAUCUAAGGACUAACCAGGCUUUAUCUUGCUUAGCUUCCAAGGCCAGGUGAGAUCGGAUGCAUUCAGGUUGGUAUAGCUGUAGAUAGCCCCACCUAUUUAUACCUUCACACUGGGGGUUAUGUCCCAACAUAGGAAUUUUUUUGGGACACCAACAUUCAGACCACAGCAGGAGUGUUGGAGACCAAUUAGAAUGUUGACAUUUGAUAAUUGCCCUCUUCAAAACUGGCUGAAGAGAAAGGAAUCUGACUGAUUUUUGAAGCUAGUGCUCUUUUGCAGGUGCCAUCACCUGUUUGUUGUGUGAACUUGCUCUCUGUCCUCCUGGAGUCAGCUACUAAAACUUCUCAUCCACAGUGCUGGCCCCUGAAUCCUGGCUAACAAAGCCUUACCCUAUGGACAGGAAGAGAAAUGAGACACAACGUUGCCCAGGAGCUGGGUAUUGGUGAUGACUCCAAGCCCUACUUCUCUUCCACUUGCUAGGGCUCUGCUUGCUCCAUUGGUUGCCAAAUCCACAUCUGGAUUUUCCUGUUCACUGGGCCCGUUUCGACUCAUGAUUUGCUUUGGACUUUCCACUUGGUUCUAUGCAUUGCUCUCUGUGAUGAUCCUGGUGGUUCAGCCUCUGCAUUUUGACACAGAAAGCCCCUGGUAGCAGUAUGGAUGGCCAUGUUGGCCUGGACCUGAAGAACACUGAAUCUCACCCACCAGGAACUGGACUCCCAAACUCCUGGCUGCUGACUCCAGGAAUUCCUAUAGCUAUAAAUGUCUACAUUGUUUUAUUUUGAUUCCACUUUGUUUAUUUGGAUCUGUGUAUCUGCCUCUGAACUCUGUAUCUUGUAUCUUUUAUUUUUAUUUUAUU